RNAcentral lists this unclassified non-coding RNA (233 nucleotides) under fungal sp. Its description in RNAcentral is "partial internal transcribed spacer region". The stretch from base 1 to 46 matches the Rfam family "Eukaryotic small subunit ribosomal RNA", at positions 1786 to 1831 of the family's 1831-position model. The record is from RNAcentral. Lineage: Eukaryota; Fungi.
AAGUCGUAACAAGGUCUCCGUUGGUGAACCAGCGGAGGGAUCAUUACCGAAUGUUACCAAACAAACCACUGUGAACCGUCCCUUUAGCUGCUUCGGCGAGCGAUCCCAGGGCGGGAUCCCGGGCUCCUUACAGGGUGCUCGCCGGCGGCCACUUUCUAGCUCUGUUUCUAGCGGGCUUCUGAGUGUAAACAAAAAAUAAAUCAAAACUUUCAACAACGGAUCUCUUGGCUCUG